This 72-nucleotide transfer RNA is filed under the name Camelus bactrianus (Bactrian camel). It matches the Rfam family "tRNA". From Rfam's summary of the family: Transfer RNA (tRNA) molecules are approximately 80 nucleotides in length. Their secondary structure includes four short double-helical elements and three loops (D, anti-codon, and T loops). Further hydrogen bonds mediate the characteristic L-shaped molecular structure. tRNAs have two regions of fundamental functional importance: the anti-codon, which is responsible for specific mRNA codon recognition, and the 3' end, to which the tRNAs corresponding amino acid is attached (by aminoacyl-tRNA synthetases). tRNAs cope with the degeneracy of the genetic code in two manners: having more than one tRNA (with a specific anti-codon) for a particular amino acid; and 'wobble' base-pairing, i.e. permitting non-standard base-pairing at the 3rd anti-codon position. RNAcentral also lists the same sequence under 2 other names. The record is from Rfam by way of RNAcentral. Lineage: Eukaryota; Metazoa; Chordata; Mammalia; Artiodactyla; Camelidae.
GAGGGUGUAGCUCAGUGGUAGAGUGAGUGCUUACCCUGCACGAGGUCCUGGGUUCAAUCCCCAGUACCUCCA